This is an RNA transcript of Zea mays, 1381 nucleotides long. It is a transcript of the gene named HLH DNA-binding domain superfamily protein pseudogene, with no coding region annotated. NCBI's taxonomy places the organism in Eukaryota, Viridiplantae, Streptophyta, Magnoliopsida, Poales, Poaceae. The transcript is spliced from 4 exons. The record is from RefSeq and is marked validated.
ACCAGCCGCCGCCGCCUCUAUCUCUCCCUUCCCUCUUCUCUCUCCCCUCACCUCUCUCCUCGAGCCAUGGACGUCGUCGAGCCGCCCGUGACCGCGCGUCCGCCGGCGCAACGAACACCAGGCCGUGACCCCGCGUCCGCCGGCAACAGUGGUGCGGGCGCGACAGCGGACGCCGCGGCGCGUAGCGAGGGCGCGACGCCUCCUGAGGCGCGACCGCCUCCGUUCGCGCGGUUCUUCCGGUACCCGCAGUACGCGUGGCGCCACGCGGUGGCGCGGGAGGACGGCGUCGUGGCCGUGGAGGACGAGGCGAGCUGCGCCUCCGCGGUGGCGAACGUGGAGGUGGGCCUGGUGGUGGACGCGCACGCCAGCCUCCGCGUGAUGGCGCCGCGGCGGCCCAGGCAGCUGCUGAGGCUGGUGGCCGGGGUGCAGGCGCUCGGCCUCGCCGUGCUGCACCUCAACGUGGCCACCGCGCCCGACGCGACGACGCUCUACACGCUCAGCCGGCAACAGUGGCGCUCUACACACUCAUCAGCAUCAUUCCCUGGCUCGUUUUGUUGCGCUGCCUGAAACGGUGCAUCACCGUUCGAACAUGCACUUUUGUCACAAAGUCACCAGUGCCACUAUGCAAGCACACAUGGCCAAAUCCGGCUAGGGUUUCCUUUCGAGUCAGUGGGUACGGGCCAUAUCUGGCUUCGUCUGAUGUGCUAAUCGCGCGAUGGCUGGUACAGGGCGCAGGAGAGGCUCGACUUCCUCUACGAGUCGGGGUUGGCCGUCGGCAAGAGCUCCGAUGGGUUCCAGGCGCUGCAGCAAUCUGCACCGGGGGCAGCUGCCGCGUCCACUUCUGCACAGGAGAGUGCGGCUGAUUCUUCCAAGGCAGCUACACCGGGAGCUUUAUUUGAGGAUAAACCCCAAUCUGCAAAUGAUACAUGGAGAAAACUCCACUCUGAUCCUCUACUCCUAAUAAGGCAGCGAGGGCAGGAUGCGAUUUCAAGGAUUAAAAACAAUCCAAUCAAGAUGGCCGAGAUAAAGAAAUCUGUUAAACAUGCAUAUAGAGGAGUGUGGUGAUCAGGGCACCAUGAGAACUCAUUAUGGGCAUGAACAAGAUUUGAACAGCUACAGAACUUUAUAGCUGGGGCAACCACUGCCAUAUGAUCAAGAUCUGGGGCAACCACUGCCAUAUGAACAAGUUUUGAAGAGAGAAACAUCAAGUAAGUGCCGACAUCACAACCCCUACAAGCUUGUGCCUUAAAACAAGAGGAUACAAGAAGUUGGAGUGCUUUUGUGAAGGCUUUUGUGACUCACUUGAAGCUUUGGUACUUUUGUGAAUGAUUUUGUAAAGUGUUUGUAAAUAUGUGCAAAAUAUAAUAACAUGUGUAGGUUU